AACGCGAAGAACCUUACCUACUCUUGACAUCCAGAGAACUUAGCAGAGAUGCUUUGGUGCCUUCGGGAACUCUGAGACAGGUGCUGCAUGGCUGUCGUCAGCUCGUGUUGUGAAAUGUUGGGUUAAGUCCCGCAACGAGCGCAACCCUUAUCCUUUGUUGCCAGCGGUUAGGCCGGGAACUCAAAGGAGACUGCCAGUGAUAAACUGGAGGAAGGUGGGGAUGACGUCAAGUCAUCAUGGCCCUUACGAGUAGGGCUACACACGUGCUACAAUGGCGCAUACAAAGAGAAGCGACCUCGCGAGAGCAAGCGGACCUCAUAAAGUGCGUCGUAGUCCGGAUUGGAGUCUGCAACUCGACUCCAUGAAGUCGGAAUCGCUAGUAAUCGUAGAUCAGAAUGCUACGGUGAAUACGUUCCCGGGUCUUGUACACACCG
RNAcentral lists this ribosomal RNA (434 nucleotides) under uncultured bacterium. Its description in RNAcentral is "bacterial SSU rRNA". It matches the Rfam family "Bacterial small subunit ribosomal RNA", at positions 958 to 1392 of the family's 1533-position model. The record is from RNAcentral. RNAcentral also lists the same sequence under 1 other name.